UCCGGGCGGAGCCCCCUCCCGCCCCAGGCCCAGCAUGGGGCGGGCAGAGCGGGUGCCCGGGUGUGCGCAGCUGGGGGGGGUCGCUGCUUCCACCCCGAGGGGAGCCCCAUUUCACCCAGUGUAAGGGAGACGGGAGAGCAGGUGCCCCCAAGAGUAUCAGGGAAUCGCUGGGGCACCUCCUCGGCCCGCUGACCCCAACUGCUGUUCGGGGGUCCGUGUUUUGGGGGAGCAUCUCCCCUUCUCCCUGUCGGGUGUUUGGCUUGCAGGGUCCCUUCUCCUGUAAUCUCACCCUGUCGGGGAGCCCCUGAGGGCAGUGGACUUGCCUUCAGCUUAGGCCUCCAAAGAAAGAGCUGGAGAAACAGCCUCACCGAGGCCACAAAGUUCUGCAACCCCGGGAGUGGGGGGGGGAGCAGAGUGGAGCCACAAAGGCAGUCACAGGCCUGGAGGACCCCCUGGCAUCUGUGCCUUCAUGCAAGGCUCCAGGGCCCCAUCUUUCAAGGCCCUCCCUGCACACUUCACCACUGCUCUGCUCCCCCCCUUCCUCCCCGCCCCCCUCACUGCACCCCCAAUGUCAUGAACUGAAAGAGCAGCUGAUUCGCGGGCCCCACAUCCAAGUGGGGACCCUCCUAUCUUUGGACCUCUCGGCUGGCGCGGCUCCUCUCCCCGACAGUGCAGACAACUCACUGACUUUAUGACUCUGGGGGCCUGGGUGGAGAUGAUGGUGGAUACUUGAGGCUGCUGGUACCCAAAACUCAGCCCUAACCCUGAGCACAGCAUUGCCCUCCUCUCUGGGGGCUCUGCCCUGUACACCGCCCCUCCCAGGUGUGCCAACCACUGUUUCCUGCCCUCCCCUUUCUUCUGUUGAAGUCCCAGUAGCUCUGUGAGUGCUCCCCGAGUCCAGAGCUGCCCCAUAUCUGAUUCCACUUCCUUCCCUGGGCAGAAGCCUCUCACCAGGAACGGAGACCUUCAUGCAGGGGAGUGGCUCCCUUUGGCAGAAGGUGCACAGCCGUGGGGCGGCGAGUCUGAGAACCCACGGGACCAGGUCAUACUGAGUAAGAGUGGGAAGGGGAACCAGGCCUGUAGGAUUCCUGGGGUGCAGCAUCAGGUCACUGGGAAGGGACACGGAGUGCCCCCCAAAGCAGGACAGCGGGAGAUCUGUACAAUUGUUGUAUUCUUUAUAACCUUUUCCUAAGAGACAUGCCCUGUACCUUCAGCUGCAGCCAUUUCUCUUUUGCUUGAAAAUGCUCAUAUAAUCAAUCCCGUGAUGUAUUUUCUGUUUCAGGCUAAUGAACAGCACCCCUGGUGUUGAUGCAGCUCAGGGUGACCGGGAAGCUCAGGUAAGUGACACUCAGAUGGGAGAGCUUUGAUUACAACAAAUAAAUGAAAAAUGAAUCUGUGUUAAUAAAAACCAUGAUCAAUGUUGUCAUCGCCUCUGGAGAUCAUCUCAUUUGUGGCUCCCCCACACGAGUAUCUUCUCAUUUUGAGAGAAAUACUUUAGCCUGAAACUGCAAUGAAAUAAAAUAAAUUGCAUACAGGUAGUGAAUCCCCCACCUGAUAUGUUACUCUUUCCUAUUAUGGAACAUUCAUAAAACAGAGCAUUAAAAAAAAAUCCACCUUGGUGUUAUUUUUCUACAAAGACACAUUAGAUGUAUUUGGGGAAGAGGGAGAAAGAAUAUUCCCGAGAUAAAACUGGUUUAUCAUGUUAUAGAGGAUAUGGUAUUAAAAUAAUGCCACUGUGGAGCUACCACAAAAGUUCAGGUGAGCGUUUUAAUGCCCCCGGUUCUCCUACUGCCUGUGGCGUCUCCAUUUAAUGAACCAGGGUUUGAGCUUUAGGAGAGACAGAAAGUUAAAGCCACAGUUGAACUAUCAACGAUGAUCUUUGCCAGGACACUGGAUUGAUACUGAUCUGUGACAGCCUGAGCUGCACAUGGGAAUUCCAUUCUAUUCUAUUCUGUCCUAUUCUUUUUCUUUUUGUAAAGGCAAGGAAUUAGUCACAGAGAGAAGCUUUCAGUUAUACAAAAUUUUGUUUUAUGAAAUAUCCUGGCCCCAUUCAUUAUUCGGUCCUGCUCCUCUCGUAGGUGUAGACAACUUUCAGGACUCUUGUGUUUGGAAACUGGAAGGGCACAGACUUUGAGAUGUCAGUCAAUAGUAUGGAGGCAAGACUAGUCCACAUUUUGGAUGCAGCUAGAGUGUUUAUUCUCACUGCUGUAUAACAGUCCACUCGAUGCUGUUGUUUACAUUGUGUUCUACUCAGAUGCCGGGCGAGGGUCCCACAUGGCGCCAGACCUCUCCUGCCGCUUGCUGCUCCCCUCAAAGUGUACUUCGGUCCUUCUGCCUGUUCUCCUCCCCGCUCUGGCUCUGGUGAAUCCUUUCACCCUACCGCGCUUCUGACUGUA
This is a long non-coding RNA of Talpa occidentalis (Iberian mole), 2396 nucleotides long. RefSeq lists it as uncharacterized. The transcript has 3 exons. The record is from RefSeq and is a predicted model, not a curated record. NCBI's taxonomy places the organism in Eukaryota, Metazoa, Chordata, Mammalia, Eulipotyphla, Talpidae.